AUCCAUCCCCACACCACCCUGAAUGUACCCAAUCUCUUCUGAUUUUGGAAGCUAAGCAGGGUCUGGCCUUGCUAGUACUUGCUAGUACUGAUGGUGGGGUCCUCAUGAUGGGACGCCUC
Molecule: ribosomal RNA, 119 nt
Filed under: Nannospalax galili (Upper Galilee mountains blind mole rat)
Lineage: Eukaryota; Metazoa; Chordata; Mammalia; Rodentia; Spalacidae
Source: RNAcentral